This 5187-nucleotide long non-coding RNA is filed under the name Salmo salar (Atlantic salmon). RNAcentral's name for it is "lncRNA (ENSSSAG00000107586.1)". The record is from RNAcentral. Lineage: Eukaryota; Metazoa; Chordata; Actinopteri; Salmoniformes; Salmonidae.
CCGGGAUCGAACCAGGGUCUGUAGUGACACCUCUAGCACUGAGAUGCAGUGCCUGAGCCCUCUGUGCCACUCGCGAGUUAGAGGUGUAAACUUCCAUUUCUCAAUCUAAGCUGCAUUUACAGUGUAGAUGAUGGUACAUUAGGUCACUAUUUAUUCGUAAGUGACUACAAUGACGUUUUUCUCCAUUUCAGUCUCUCUCUCUCUCUCUCCCCUCUCUCUCUGUCUCUCUCUCUCUCUCUCUCCCCUCUCUCUCUCUCUCUCUCUCCCCUCUCUCUCUCCCCCCACUCUCUCUCUCUCUCUCUCUCUCUCUCGCUCUCUCUCUCUCGCUCUCUCUCUCUCUCUCUCCCCCCUCCCCCCUCUCUCCCUCUCUCCCCCUCCCCCUCUCUCUGUCUCUCGCUCUCUCUGCUGUUUUCAUAAUAAACAACCAAGUGUUUUUUUUAAGCCGUCUUUGAGUCUUCUUGACGGUAUGUGAUUCGCUCCAAGCUAAGAUAUUAACUAUUUUGGCAACAUAAAAAAAAAACUUUGAAACAAAAUUAAUGGGAGCGUCCUUAGACGUUCAUCUCAUUGCAUUAGACCUAUUCAUGUUGGAUCUUUUCGAUACUACCAGUAUAUUAAUUGAUUACAGCAUAUCGUCAUGGAACCAGGAUAUCAAGUUUUAUGUGUAAUUAAACAGUAAUCCCAUCAGGUUUUAUGUGUAAUGUAACAGUAAUCUCAUCAGGUUUUAUGUGUAAUUAAACAGUAAUCCCAUCAGGUUUUAUGUGUAAUUAAAUAGUAAUCUCAUCAGGUUCUAUGUGUAAUUAAAUAGUAAUCUCAUCAGGUUUUGUGUAAUGUAACAGUAAUCCCAUCAGGUUGUAUGUGUAAUUAAACAGUAAUCUCAUCAGGUUGUAUGUGUAACUAAACAGUAAUCCCAUCAGGUUUUAUGUGUAAUUAAACAGUAAUCCCAUCAGGUUUCAUGUGUAAUUAAACAGUAAUCCCAUCAGGUUUCAUGUGUAAUUAAAUAGUAAUCCCAUCAGGUUUUAUGUGUAAUUAAAUAGUAAUCUCAUCAGGUUUUGUGUAAUGUAACAGUAAUCUCAUCAGGUUUUAUGUGUAAUUAAACAGUAAUCUCAUCAAGUUGUAUGUUUAAUUAAACAGUAAUCCCAUCAGGUUUUAUGUGUAAUUAAACAGUAAUUCCAUUGUAUCUCCUCGUCGUACAAGAUUUAUACAUAUGUCAAACAAAAGAUUUUACAAAGAAUCUUGAAAAUACUAAAGGCAAGUGAUUUAGCAUGGGCUGAAGGAGGCUUUGUAGCCGUCUGGGUUUAGAAAGGUAGAAAGAUGUGCUUGAUUUAGAAACUGCCGUUUUAAAAAGUGCCAGUGAUGCUUACCUGUGCAUUCAGGUGUUCUAGAAUGUCUUCAUUCAGGUGUUCUAGAAUGUCUGCAUUCAGGUGUGUGUCAUUCAGGUGUUCUGGUGUGUGUCAUUCAGGUGUUCUAGAAUGUCUGCAUUCAGGUGUGUGUCAUUCAGGUGUUGUAGAAUGUCUGCAUUCAGGUGUUCUAGAAUGUCUGCAUUCAGGUGUGUGUCAUUCAGGUGUUCUAGAAUGUCUGCAUUCAGGUGUUCUAGAAUGUCUGCAUGGGCGAGGUGCAGAGCAGCAAGAUUAAUGACCUGAGAGGCGUUCUAAUCAGCGUUCCAUUCUGGGAAGGUAAGCCAACGCCCGGGGGGGUGUAGAAUAUGGGCUGAACUCCAGUUAUAUUGACUAAAAUAACAUCGUAACUGAUCAACUGGCAGCUUGUCUCUCCUAUUCAUGACAAUAGGCAGAGAUUAACCUUAGGCUUUCUGCCCGGCACACAGCAGACUGAAAACUAUAUCUUUGCAGUGUGGAUAAAGUAAUGGAGAUUAAGGCCGGUAUAUCCAAUCAGAUCGCGCUAAAUCAGCUAUGCACCUUUUAUAGGCAAUGUUCCCGUGUUUUCGGCUCAAUGGGAAAUUACCUUUAAAUGGUGCAUAGCCGACAGAGGCCAACCGGAUUGAAUCCUGGCCUAACUGUACAAAGUGUUGUUCAAUGUAGUGCAUCUGUGAAUCUGAUUUUACUGAGUAUUAGUGACCCCGUUGUCAAAUGACCUUUCUCCGUUGUAGAGCUCGUUGUGAAUUCAUCUGAAACACCCAUUCAGUACGGUACAUGUUGUGGGUAAGAUCCCAAGUACUGUCUACAUUUUCUGUUCUGUAAAUGAGAAACCACAUAUCUGAGAAGAGGAACAGCGAAGUGUGAAGGAUCCUUCUCCCUACGUAGAGGCCAGCGUCAUCAUAUCGGCUGGCUGUUAGUCCUCUGCUGUCAUUGUCCCUAGUCAGCCCCAACGACUUUCCUUGUUGUUGGACGGUCAGGUCCAAUAGGGAAUAGGAUGCCAUUUGAGACGUACUCCAUGUCAGUCCCAAGUAGUUGGAUGGUUGGACUGAUCUGAAACGACAUUCCUUAUUGCCUUGAAAUGGAAUGCGAUUGGCUGUGUAAGUGAUGGGGCUUAAAGAAGCUCUCCAGAAUGCCCGUGACCCCGACUGACCCCCGGUCUGCGUCCCAAAUACAAUGUUAUUUGUCACAUGCUUUGUAAACAACAGGUUUAGACUAACAGUGAAAUGAGUACAUACGGGCUUACUUACUAACAAAUAAAUGCUUACUCACCCUAUGGGCCCUGGUCAAAAGUAGUACACUAUAUUACGGACUAGGAUACCAUUUGGGACUCUACCCCACAAUGAGCUGGGCUGCCUGGGAUCAGUGGGAUGCUUGGGCCGUCAAGAGUAACUUUAGACACAUUCUAGGGGACACUAGAUCCUGAUGUGGCAUGCAGCCUGCUCUGACCUUCUUCCCAGGAACACUUAGUCAGAGUUCCUAGCUUCUAGAUCAGGGAGGGGCCGCAUCAAUUUCCACAAAACAAAAAACAAAACAAACAUUUGGUGGUGGGGGGGGGGGAAUUCAGUCGGGGUCUCAAUUUACUGUUGAGAUUAGAAUGGUAGAAUACACAAGGUGACAUUUUGAAAUGUUGUUGUUGCAUCAGCAGUUUCUCUCUUGUUAUGUCAGUCACUGACAGUCACUCAAUGUCCCAUGUCAGCUAACAUUUUAUAGGUUGUUGUCAGAGUCUAGGUGAUGUGGGUAAAGGCGGAGUCAGGCGCAGGACACAGAGAUGAGUAAUAAUAGUGACUUUACUCAAAAAAUAAUCCUCCAACAAGGAGAACGAAAAAUCCAGAAUCACAUAAACGAGACAACUGACAACAAUAAACACGCACAAAACCGUGAUGGCUCCAGAGGGUUAAAUAGGGAAAUAAUUCAAACGAAAUGGGAACCAGGUGUGUACAAUACAGACAAAACAAAUGGAAAAAGAAAUGUAGAUCGGUGGAGGCUAGAAAACCAGUGACGUCGACCACCGAACGCCGCCCGAACAAGAAGAGGCACCAACUUCGCCGGAAGUCGUGACAAUUGUUAAGUUAGUUUAGCCAUCAGCUAUUUAAACUUGUAGUAAUCAUGAUUGAAUUACUGACCGGGGGUCGUCCAUUGAUUUUGUUAGUCACUCGCACUCAAACAUCAUAUAAACAACUGAAAACAGUAUUCUCCACCCCAUGGCAAAAUGAGUGGAAUUAUAGGAAAUUAGCUGUAAAACUGCACAUUUUCCUCUCCACCCCAUGGCAAAAUGAGUGGAAUUGCAGGAUAUGAGCUGUAAAACUACAUUUUCCUCUCCACCACAUGGCAAAAUGGGUAGAAUUGCAUUAAAAAAAUGUUUUAAUAAAAUUGCAACAUUUGCUCUACGCCCCAUUGUCACAGGUCAUGGAAUCUCCAGCCUCCAUCUCCAUGUCUGGCCUGUUUGUUCCGUAAACAUGCUGCACCUGUCCAUAGAAUGCUGGUUGCCAACCAACAAUGGAAUGCUGGUUGCUAACCAACCAGACUAUAUGCUAUGACCCUUUCCAUGCGCAUGUGUGUUUGUGAGUGCAAGUUCGUUUGAGUGUGUGUGUGUGUGUGUGUGUGUGUAUACAUUCAUAACAACGUGUACGUAAGGAUGUGUUUGGGCCAGAAGACAGACAGAUAUCUGUCUAGCUUGCUCUCAGGCCAGGGUGAUAGAGGUUUUUCCUCUCCAGGCAGCUGUCACUGUUGCGUCUGAAGCAGCACACAGAUCUGAACUCUGAGGGAAACACUGGUCUGCAUCUCAGUUAGCACCCUAAUCCCGAUAGACUGUACUGUAUAUAGUGUCCUACUUUUGGUCAAAAUUGCGCGAUGAAAUGAUGAAUACUGUCGAGCAACAGGUCAGUUCCAAGUGGGACGUCUACUUUCUUUUUUCCGAUAGACGUAACGCCGUUCUCCAUGCACAGUCGUUUAUAAGAGCUAUUGAUUAGAGCUAUUGAUUAGAGCUAUUGAUUAGAGCUAUUGAUUAGAGCUAUUGAUAACAGCUAUUGAUAACAGCUAUUGAUAAGAGCUAUUGAUUAGAGCUAUUGAUAAAAGAUAUUGAUUAGAGCUAUUGAUAACGGAGAUUAAUAAGAUAUAUUGAUAACGGAUAUUAAUAAGAUAUAUUGAUUAGAGCUAUUGAUUAGAACUAUUGAUUAGAGCUAUUUAUAAGAGCUAUUGAUUAGAGCUAUUGAUAACAGCUAUUGAUUAGAGCUAUUGAUAAGAGCUAUUGAAAAUAUAUAUUGAUUAGAGCUAUUGAUAAGAGCUAUUGAUUAGAGAUAUUGAUUAGAGCUAGGUAAAUGAGUGAACUGUUUGUGUUGGGGAUUGUAAAUAUAAAUGACAUUUGUUUUAGAUCUAUUGUACCUUCUGAUCACUGGAGACAAAUGUGAAACCAGUCACACGGCAGCAAACUGAAGCAUCAACAUAUCACCUCUUCCACAGUGAAGUUCAUGAAACGCUGGCCUUAUAACUUGGGAUGAAAUUAGGAGAGCCAAGCUAUAGACUUCUGUAGCCAUGUACAAAUGACAGUAUAGUACCAAACCUACCGAGGUGAUUAUAUGAUUUCUAGAAUGUUUAAAUUAUAUGCCCAGACUUUUCACUGUAAUUUGUACGGUCAGUUAUCCUCACAUACAUUUAUAACGGUCUCUGACUUUAGUGUUAGUUUCCUUACAUGUUGCAUCAUUCAAUAACAUCAUAAGUUUCCCUCAACUUGCACUGCUCAUGUUAUUGAAUGUACGUUUGUUUAUGUGUAACUCUGUGUUGUUGUUUUUUGUCGCACUGCUAUGCUUUAUCUUGG